Molecule: ribosomal RNA, 464 nt
Filed under: uncultured bacterium
Lineage: Bacteria
Description: partial 16S ribosomal RNA
Rfam family: Bacterial small subunit ribosomal RNA
Source: RNAcentral
CUACGGGCGGCAGCAGUGGGGAAUAUUGCGCAAUGGACGAAAGUCUGACGCAGCGACGCCGCGUGGGGGAAGAAGGUUUUCGGAUCGUAAACCCCUGUCAGGAGGGAAGAAACUCAUGGGUUCGAAUAGGGCCCUUGACUGACGGUACCUCCAGAGGAAGCACCGGCUAACUCCGUGCCAGCAGCCGCGGUAAUAGGAGGGUGCGAGCGUUAAUCGGAAUCACUGGGCGUAAAGCGUGCGUAGGCUGCCCUGCAAGUCAAAUGUGAAAGCCCACGGCUCAACCGUGGAAUUGCAUUCGAAACUGAAGGGCUUGAGUUCGGGAGAGGGUGGCGGAAUUCCAGGUGUAGGAGUGAAAUCCGUAGAUAUCUGGAGGAACACCAGUGGCGAAGGCGGCCACCUGGACCGAUACUGACGCUGAGGUACGAAAGUGUGGGGAGCAAACAGGAUUAGAUACCCUGGUAGUC